UGCAAGUCGAACGAACUCUGGUAUUGAUUGGUGCUUGCAUCAUGAUUUACAUUUGAGUGAGUGGCGAACUGGUGAGUAACACGUGGGAAACCUGCCCAGAAGCGGGGGAUAACACCUGGAAACAGAUGCUAAUACCGCAUAACAACUUGGACCGCAUGGUCCGAGCUUGAAAGAUGGCUUUGGCUAUCACUUUUGGAUGGUCCCGCGGCGUAUUAGCUAGAUGGUGGGGUAACGGCUCACCAUGGCAAUGAUACGUAGCCGACCUGAGAGGGUAAUCGGCCACAUUGGGACUGAGACACGGCCCAAACUCCUACGGGAGGCAGCAGUAGGGAAUCUUCCACAAUGGACGAAAGUCUGAUGGAGCAACGCCGCGUGAGUGAAGAAGGGUUUCGGCUCGUAAAACUCUGUUGUUAAAGAAGAACAUAUCUGAGAGUAACUGUUCAGGUAUUGACGGUAUUUAACCAGAAAGCCACGGCUAACUACGUGCCAGCAGCCGCGGUAAUACGUAGGUGGCAAGCGUUGUCCGGAUUUAUUGGGCGUAAAGCGAGCGCAGGCGGUUUUUUAAGUCUGAUGUGAAAGCCUUCGGCUCAACCGAAGAAGUGCAUCGGAAACUGGGAAACUUGAGUGCAGAAGAGGACAGUGGAACUCCAUGUGUAGCGGUGAAAUGCGUAGAUAUAUGGAAGAACACCAGUGGCGAAGGCGGCUGUCUGGUCUGUAACUGACGCUGAGGCUCGAAAGUAUGGGUAGCAAA
This 751-nucleotide ribosomal RNA is filed under the name Lactiplantibacillus plantarum. RNAcentral describes it as "bacterial SSU rRNA". It matches the Rfam family "Bacterial small subunit ribosomal RNA", at positions 56 to 772 of the family's 1533-position model. The record is from RNAcentral. Lineage: Bacteria; Bacillati; Bacillota; Bacilli; Lactobacillales; Lactobacillaceae.